Molecule: ribosomal RNA, 254 nt
Filed under: uncultured bacterium
Lineage: Bacteria
Description: partial 16S ribosomal RNA
Rfam family: Bacterial small subunit ribosomal RNA
Source: RNAcentral
UACGUAGGGUGCAAGCGUUUAAUCGGAAUUACUGGGCGUAAAGCGUGCGCAGGCGGUUGUGCAAGACAGAUGUGAAAUCCCCGGGCUCAACCUGGGAAUUGCAUUUGUGACUGCACGGCUAGAGUGUGUCAGAGGGGGGUAGAAUUCCACGUGUAGCAGUGAAAUGCGUAGAGAUGUGGAGGAAUACCGAUGGCGAAGGCAGCCCCCUGGGAUAACACUGACGCUCAUGCACGAAAGCGUGGGGAGCAAACGGG